Molecule: ribosomal RNA, 389 nt
Filed under: uncultured bacterium
Lineage: Bacteria
Description: bacterial SSU rRNA
Rfam family: Bacterial small subunit ribosomal RNA
Source: RNAcentral
AUUAAACGCUGGCGGCAUGCCUUACACAUGCAAGUCGAACGGCAGCACGGGGCAACCUGGUGGCGAGUGGCGAACGGGUGAGUAAAGCAUCGGAACGUGCCCUGGAGUGGGGGGAUAACGUAGCGAAAGUUACGCUAAUACCGCAUAUUCUGUGAGCAGGAAAGCAGGGGAUCGCAAGACCUUGCGCUCUGGGAGCGGCCGAUGUCGGAUUAGCUAGUUGGUGGGGUAAAGGCCUACCAAGGCGACGAUCCGUAGCGGGUCUGAGAGGAUGAUCCGCCACACUGGGACUGAGACACGGCCCAGACUCCUACGGGAGGCAGCAGUGGGGAAUUUUGGACAAUGGGCGCAAGCCUGAUCCAGCCAUGCCGCGUGAGUGAAGAAGGCCUCGG